Non-coding RNA from Oryza barthii, 205 nucleotides. Lineage: Eukaryota; Viridiplantae; Streptophyta; Magnoliopsida; Poales; Poaceae. The record is from Rfam.
AAAGAGACAGACCAUGGGUUUCCGUGUCCAACGUUUAACCGUCCGUCUUAUUUGAAAAAAUUAUGAAAAAAAUUAAAAAGACAAAUCAUGUAUAAAGUAUUAAUCAUGUUUUAUCAUCUAACAACAAUAAAAAUACUAACUAUAAAAAAAUUUAUAUAAGACAGACAGUUAAAGUUGGACACGAAAAUUUAGGAUUUGUCUUUUU